CUGCUCUGUAAAUUAAACAUUAAUCAAAGACAGUAAGUUCCUGCAGGGUCUAAGAGGCUAUUAACAGAGCAGGAGACAAUAUAUUAUAGCUGAAACAGACUGUGCAAUACAGGAUCCUAGAAUUUAUAUGUUACUUUUCAGGAAAAUUUUAGGGAGGCUGUGUAAAUCACAUGCAGGAGGUCGUACUAGGGCUGUAAUUUAACUCCUAAAUGGCAGAGAAUUGAGCAAUGAGGCUGCAGGGCAUGAUCU
This is a non-coding RNA of Pelobates cultripes (western spadefoot toad), 249 nucleotides long. NCBI's taxonomy places the organism in Eukaryota, Metazoa, Chordata, Amphibia, Anura, Pelobatidae. The record is from the annotation of a GenBank genome assembly.